This is a long non-coding RNA of Symsagittifera roscoffensis, 416 nucleotides long. RefSeq lists it as uncharacterized. The transcript is spliced from 3 exons. NCBI's taxonomy places the organism in Eukaryota, Metazoa, Xenacoelomorpha, Acoela, Convolutidae. The record is from RefSeq and is a predicted model, not a curated record.
CGCAAGCUUUACCCAAAAACUACAUACAAAAAGCUGCUAAAAGCGAAUGACCUAUAAAACUUUCAGUAUGGAGUCAAAUGACCACUUAUAUGAAAAUACAGAAUUUAUAUUAGCCAAAAGAAAAGAAGCUACUUCUUCGGACGGAAAGCUCGCUGUUAUUGACGAAAGUAGUGAAGAUUCUGAAACUGACGAGACAACGAGAGUUUCUGAAGAUGCUGAAAAAGCAGAGACUACCAAAACACCAAUGAUGGCUCCUUCAGCUCAUUCCGGGACUGAAACUCUAUCUCAAAUCGAAGUAAUCCCAAUAAUCACUCGUUGGAAGAGAGAUGGAAGUGGUAACGUGGUGAAGAAACAGUCGAAGCCCCUGUUGCAGUUUUUGGGAGUGAAAUUUGGAGGAGAGAGCAAGUGGUCUCUAC